AGCUCCAAUAGCGUAUAUUAAAGUUGUUGCAGUUAAAAAGCUCGUAGUUGGAUUUCUGGUCGGAGCGACCAUACCGGGCUUGAUUGUCCGUGUAAUGUGUUGCCUCCAGCCAUCCUCGUGGAGAACUUUUCUGGCAUUAACUUGUCGGGAUGGGGACCCGCGUCAUUUACUGUGAAAAAAUUAGAGUGUUUAAAGCAGGCAAUUGGCUUGAAUACAUUAGCAUGGAAUAAUAAGAUAGGACUUUGGUGCUAUUUUGUUGGUUUGCACAUCAAGGUAAUGAUUAACAGAAUCAGUCGGGGAUAUUCGUAUGCAAAUGUCAGAGGUGAAAUUCUUGGAUUUUUUACAGACGAACUACUGCGAAAGCAUUUAUCAAGGAUGUUUUCAUUAAUCAAGAACGAAA
This 400-nucleotide ribosomal RNA is filed under the name phytoplankton environmental sample. RNAcentral's name for it is "partial small subunit ribosomal RNA". It matches the Rfam family "Eukaryotic small subunit ribosomal RNA", at positions 587 to 988 of the family's 1831-position model. The record is from RNAcentral.